This 253-nucleotide ribosomal RNA is filed under the name uncultured bacterium. Its description in RNAcentral is "partial 16S ribosomal RNA". It matches the Rfam family "Bacterial small subunit ribosomal RNA", at positions 524 to 776 of the family's 1533-position model. The record is from RNAcentral.
UACGGAGGGCGCAAGCGUUGUUCGGAAUCACUGGGCGUAAAGCGCGUGUAGGCGGCUUGGCAAGUCGGGUGUGAAAUCCCGAGGCUCAACCUCGGAACUGCACUCGAAACUGCCUUGCUCGAGUCCGGGAGAGGGUGGCGGAAUUCCCGGUGUAGGGGUGAAAUCCGUAGAUAUCGGGAGGAACACCAGUGGCGAAGGCGGCCAUCUGGUCGAGGACUGACACUCAAGUGCGAAAGCGUGGGGAGCAAACACG